CUGGAGGAUGAUGAGUUGCACUAAGGGGGUCUGCAGUGCUGUGUACUGUAGUACUCCCCAGACUUGUUGUGUUGACACAGCCAUGUGCACAGGGGCCAGCUGACUCCAU
Small nucleolar RNA from Bufo bufo (common toad), 109 nucleotides. RefSeq annotates it as small nucleolar RNA SNORD67. NCBI's taxonomy places the organism in Eukaryota, Metazoa, Chordata, Amphibia, Anura, Bufonidae. The transcript has a single exon. The record is from RefSeq and is a predicted model, not a curated record.